AUCGCUUCUCGGCCUAUUGGCUAAGAUCAAGUGUAAUAAAUAUGGCUUAUGAGAAUUGCAAUACUGUGAAGAGAAAUUAGGCCAGAUAAAUACUUUUCUAUUAGCAUUGCCAAAUUCCUAUGUAUUUAUAUGUAUGUACAUAUGCAUAUUACAUGUAAUACAUAUGUAUA
This 170-nucleotide small nuclear RNA is filed under the name Otolemur garnettii (small-eared galago). Its description in RNAcentral is "U2 spliceosomal RNA". It matches the Rfam family "U2 spliceosomal RNA". Rfam says of the family: U2 is a small nuclear RNA (snRNA) component of the spliceosome (involved in pre-mRNA splicing). Complementary binding between U2 snRNA (in an area lying towards the 5' end but 3' to hairpin I) and the branchpoint sequence (BPS) of the intron results the bulging out of an unpaired adenosine, on the BPS, which initiates a nucleophilic attack at the intronic 5' splice site, thus starting the first of two transesterification reactions that mediate splicing. The record is from Rfam by way of RNAcentral. Lineage: Eukaryota; Metazoa; Chordata; Mammalia; Primates; Galagidae.